AGCUUUGCACAGUGGCAGUAUCGUAGCCAAUGAGGUUUAUCCGAGGCGCGAUUAUUGCUAAUUGAAAACUACUCCCUCUUACUAUAAUGGUUUUACAUGUUAUUUAGAUAUCUUAAUAUCCUAUUAAACAGUGCUGUAAUUUUUUAAUUUCAGUUGAA
RNAcentral lists this small nuclear RNA (158 nucleotides) under Tupaia belangeri chinensis (Chinese tree shrew). RNAcentral's name for it is "Tupaia chinensis (Chinese tree shrew) U4 spliceosomal RNA". It matches the Rfam family "U4 spliceosomal RNA". Rfam says of the family: U4 small nuclear RNA (U4 snRNA) is a component of the major U2-dependent spliceosome. The structure of U4 snRNA from yeast and human has been reported. The record is from Rfam by way of RNAcentral. Lineage: Eukaryota; Metazoa; Chordata; Mammalia; Scandentia; Tupaiidae.